This 807-nucleotide ribosomal RNA is filed under the name uncultured bacterium. Its description in RNAcentral is "bacterial SSU rRNA". It matches the Rfam family "Bacterial small subunit ribosomal RNA", at positions 78 to 870 of the family's 1533-position model. The record is from RNAcentral.
AAACUAGAUACAAGCGAGCGGCGGACGGGUGAGUAACACGUUGGGUAACCUGCCCAAGAGACUGGGAUAACACCUGGAAACAGAUGCUAAUACCGGAUAACAACACUAGACGCAUGUCUAGAGUUUGAAAGAUGGUUCUGCUAUCACUCUUGGAUGGACCUGCGGUGCAUUAGCUAGUUGGUAAGGUAACGGCUUACCAAGGCAAUGAUGCAUAGCCGAGUUGAGAGACUGAUCGGCCACAUUGGGACUGAGACACGGCCCAAACUCCUACGGGAGGCAGCAGUAGGGAAUCUUCCACAAUGGACGAAAGUCUGAUGGAGCAACGCCGCGUGAGUGAAGAAGGGUUUCGGCUCGUAAAGCUCUGUUGGUAGUGAAGAAAGAUAGAGGUAGUAACUGGCCUUUAUUUGACGGUAAUUACUUAGAAAGUCACGGCUAACUACGUGCCAGCAGCCGCGGUAAUACGUAGGUGGCAAGCGUUGUCCGGAUUUAUUGGGCGUAAAGCGAGUGCAGGCGGUUCAAUAAGUCUGAUGUGAAAGCCUUCGGCUCAACCGGAGAAUUGCAUCAGAAACUGUUGAACUUGAGUGCAGAAGAGGAGAGUGGAACUCCAUGUGUAGCGGUGGAAUGCGUAGAUAUAUGGAAGAACACCAGUGGCGAAGGCGGCUCUCUGGUCUGCAACUGACGCUGAGGCUCGAAAGCAUGGGUAGCGAACAGGAUUAGAUACCCUGGUAGUCCAUGCCGUAAACGAUGAGUGCUAAGUGUUGGGAGGUUUCCGCCUCUCAGUGCUGCAGCUAACGCAUUAAGCACUCC